This is a non-coding RNA of Pelobates cultripes (western spadefoot toad), 225 nucleotides long. NCBI's taxonomy places the organism in Eukaryota, Metazoa, Chordata, Amphibia, Anura, Pelobatidae. The record is from the annotation of a GenBank genome assembly.
AUGUAUAUAUACAUACACCCAUAUAACCACAGACACACACACACACAUACACAAUCACAUACAUCAACACACAUAAUCACAACACAUACUUAACAUCAGAGAUACACACACAAUCACACACAUCCACAAACACAAUCACAGACACACAAUCACAUGUCACAGGCAGUCACAAUCACAGUUACACACACACACACAGCACACACUCUCUCUCUCUCUCACUUACUG